RNAcentral lists this ribosomal RNA (497 nucleotides) under uncultured bacterium. RNAcentral describes it as "partial 16S ribosomal RNA". It matches the Rfam family "Bacterial small subunit ribosomal RNA", at positions 28 to 507 of the family's 1533-position model. The record is from RNAcentral.
GAUGAACGCUGGCGGCGUGCCUAAUACAUGCAAGUCGAGCGAACAGACGAGGAGCUUGCUCCUCUGACGUUAGCGGCGGACGGGUGAGUAACACGUGGAUAACCUACCUAUAAGACUGGGAUAACUUCGGGAAACCGGAGCUAAUACCGGAUAACAUGUUGAACCGCAUGGUUCAACAGUGAAAGAAGGUCUUGCUGUCACUAAUAGAUGGAUCCGCGCCGCAUUAGCUAGUUGGUAAGGUAACGGCUUACCAAGGCAACGAUGCGUAGCCGACCUGAGAGGGUGAUCGGCCACACUGGAACUGAGACACGGUCCAGACUCCUACGGGAGGCAGCAGUAGGGAAUCUUCCGCAAUGGGCGAAAGCCUGACGGAGCACCGCCGCGUGAGUGAUGAAGGUCUUCGGAUCGUAAACCUCUGUUAUUAGGGAAGAACAAAUGUGUAAGUAACUAUGCACGUCUUGACGGUACCUAAUCAGCAAGCCACGGCUAACUACGUG